UUUUUGGAGAGUUUGAUCUUGGCUCAGGACGAACGCUGGCGGCGUGCCUAAUACAUGCAAGUCGAGCGCGGGAAGCAGAAAGAUUCCUUCGGGAUGACAUCUGUGGAACGAGCGGCGGAUGGGUGAGUAACACGUGGGCAACCUGCCUGUAAGACUGGGAUAACUCCGGGAAACCGGGGCUAAUACCGGAUAAGACUUUAUCUCGCAUGAGAUAGAGAUGAAAGAUGGCUUUUAGCUAUCACUUACAGAUGGGCCUGCGGCGCAUUAGCUAGUUGGUGGGGUAAUGGCCUACCAAAGCGACGAUGCGUAGCCGACCUGAGAGGGUGAUCGGCCACACUGGGACUGAGACACGGCCCAGACUCCUACGGGAGGCAGCAGUAGGGAAUCUUCCGCA
Molecule: ribosomal RNA, 394 nt
Filed under: Cerasibacillus quisquiliarum
Lineage: Bacteria; Bacillati; Bacillota; Bacilli; Caryophanales; Bacillaceae
Description: bacterial SSU rRNA
Rfam family: Bacterial small subunit ribosomal RNA
Source: RNAcentral